RNAcentral lists this ribosomal RNA (465 nucleotides) under Triticum aestivum (bread wheat). RNAcentral's name for it is "partial small subunit ribosomal RNA". Lineage: Eukaryota; Viridiplantae; Streptophyta; Magnoliopsida; Poales; Poaceae. The record is from RNAcentral.
AUGAGCCGGCAGCGUACAGAGAAGGGGACGGAGGUGGAGGUGGAGGUGGAGGUGGUGGCGGCGGCGGCGGUGGAGGUGGAUGGGGACAAAUUCGACUACAACGUAGAGGAUUGUCGCCGCAGGUUCCAGGCCGUCUACCCUGGUCCAUACUUCCUUUUUCCAAUGUAUUGCGCGGUCGAGGUCUCUACCAAGGAUACCCUCCCUGGGGUGUUCCGCAACUUCGUGGACUGCGUCUGCUCGCCCAACGCCAGUGGAGAUCCGCUGCUGCAACACCUCAAGGAAGCGUCCUGCAACACGGCGCAACGGCCGCAGGAUUGUCCUUCAGGAACUCGGCACCUGGACCUAGGCAGGGCAACGUCGUCUGUGCUAUCCUUGUCAUCCUGGUCCAUGCUUCCUUUUUUCGAAGUCUGCGCGGUCGAGGUCUAUGGAAAGGACGCCCUCCCUGGGGGGCGAUCGGCAAAAUAA